UACGAAGGGUGCUAGCGUUGUUCGGAAUGACUGGGCGUAAAGGGCGCGUAGGCGGUUUUGUGCGUCAGAUGUGAAAUCCCUGGGCUUAACCUAGGAAUUGCAUUUGAUACGGCAAGACUAGAGUACGAUAGAGGAUGGUGGAAUUGCGAGUGUAGAGGUGAAAUUCGUAGAUAUUCGCAGGAACACCAGUGGCGAAGGCGGCCAUCUGGGUCGGUACUGACGCUGAGGCGCGAAAGCGUGGGGAGCAAACAGG
Molecule: ribosomal RNA, 253 nt
Filed under: uncultured bacterium
Lineage: Bacteria
Description: partial 16S ribosomal RNA
Rfam family: Bacterial small subunit ribosomal RNA
Source: RNAcentral